RNAcentral lists this ribosomal RNA (372 nucleotides) under uncultured organism. RNAcentral describes it as "partial 16S ribosomal RNA". It matches the Rfam family "Bacterial small subunit ribosomal RNA", at positions 527 to 896 of the family's 1533-position model. The record is from RNAcentral.
GUAGGUGGCAAGCGUUGUCCGGAAUUAUUGGGCGUAAAGCGCGCGCAGGCGGUCCUUUAAGUCUGAUGUGAAAGCCCACGGGCUCAACCGUGGAGGGUCAUUGGAAACUGGAGAACUUGAGUACAGAAGAGGGAAGCGGAAUUCCACGUGUAGCGGUGAAAUGCGUAGAGAUGUGGAGGAACACCAGUGGCGAAGGCGGCUUUCUGGUCUGUAACUGACGCUGAGGCGCGAAAGCGUGGGGAGCAAACAGGAUUAGAUACCCUGGUAGUCCACGCCGUAAACGAUGAGUGCUAAGUGUUAGGGGGUUUCCGCCCCUUAGUGCUGCAGCUAACGCAUUAAGCACUCCGCCUGGGGAGUACGGCCGCAAGGCUG